AUUUCUAGCCUUAUAGAUCGGUGAAUAAAUGCGAUAAGAUUUCAUUUGUCUAUGAAAAUGAUCUGUUUGAUCAUAGAUAAUAUACUGAAGAUAGAAAGAGACAUAUAAAUAAAAGGUAAAAAGAAUCUUAUUACCACGAACCGAUCAGUGAUCAAAGUUAGUUUCCGAACAUUCAGAUCAUGAUCGGGUUAAACCGAUCAUAGUUUCCGAAAAGUCUAUUUUUUCCAUUAUGUUGUGAUUGGUGGAAUGAAAUAAGGAAGUAGAGAUAUAAACAAGAAAAUGACUUAGAAGUUAUUAUUUUUCUUGAAACUGUAUUAAUUUCAUUUCACUAGUGUAUUAUUCUCUGUGGCCACUACGUAAUAAUCUGAACAACAAAAAAUUUUUAGACUCGAAUUUGGAGAAAAAAACUCAGAUGAAGAUAUUUAUAUAAAUCGAUAGAGGAGAAUGAUUGAAUUUUUGUGGUCAUAUACAAAGUGUUCGUAAUUUUUCUAAUUUGGAUUUCAAAGCAAAACCUCCAACUCCCGAAUAUAAUACGACCAUAAUGAAACCUAUCGUUCAAUUCACCCCAAAAGUAAGCACUCGACAGAUUGAAAAGGAGGACAAUUAUAGAGCAAGUUAAACAACUGAAAGUGGACCAAAAGUAAGCGUGUGACAGUCUGAAAAGGAGGAUAUGGAACAACUGAAAGUACCCCAAAAGUAAGCAUUUGAAUCUGAAAGGGGGACAAUUAUAGAGUACGUGGAACAACUGAGGGUAUCCCAAAAGUAAGCAUGUGACAGUCUGAAAAGGACGACAAUAAUAGAGGAUAUAGAACAGUUGAAAGGACCCCAAAAGUUAACACGAUUGGUGAACAUGUUUAGAGAGAGGCAGGAUAAAGACGAUUGAAAAUAAUGGGAAUGGAAGAAACAAAAUAGUACAGUUAAGUGAUGACCUCAGCUUCAAAGUACACUUUUAAUUGAGAUAAGCAACAAGAAUGACACAAAAUACGUGCUGAGACACAUAAUUCUUGCAGGACGUAGAGUAUAUGGUGGAUAAAAGCGGACACACAUUAAAAAAAUGAAAAAACGAUAGCGGAAAAGUAUAAUUACAAAAUGGAGAACGAGAAAAUAGUGCCAGGAAGACCGAAAAGUAGAUGCAGGGUCAAAAGAGCACAAUUCGAGCCGGUACAAUUCUUUAUACAUCAAAGAGGAACAAUAGGAGAACAUAAAUUCAUCAAAGCACAACAAACAACUACUAUUUUGUCCAAUAUAUGGCGAUCUUCCGGAUUACUUCCCUUUUUAAUCAAACUAAUCGGUAUGGUAUCUUUGACAAUUUUAAAUUUAUUUUUCAUCAUUCCGACAAUUUUCUUAACGUGAAUUCUAACGUGGGAAACGUUUCUAGUUAGCUCCAUAUCCAAAGGAUGUAACUGAUCCUUAAUCUUUAUAAAAACUUGUAUAACACAAUUUAUUGAUGAAUCCUCAGAAGUAUCUUCAAUUAAAAACCCCCUAUUCGCUAAAACAACGUCCCCCGGUGAAAUAUAAUUCAAAAAAUCACUAUUUGCAACCAUUUCUUCGUCUGUAGCCGUCCCUUCCCAAGCUUUACUAACAUAACUAACCGUUCCCUGUGGAGUGAACCCUAUUAAAAAUUUUAUAAUGUUGUCGUGUUUGUUUUUCGACCAAUACUGUUGUUGGUGCGGUUUUUCGAUAAAAAAUUCGAAACAAUCUACAAUAACGGUCGUUUUGUCUUGAAAAGCUUCUCCAAAACAAGAAGGUAUAUUUUUUUGUGCCACUAAACGGUCCGGGAAUCUUAUUAAAUGCUUGAAUUUGGUAUAAAGAAUAUUCAAAAUGUUUUCGAAAUAUGUAAAACUGGAGGUCGGGGAAAUUUUAAAGUGCCAAGCUAAAUCGCAAAAAUCAUAAUUCAAUCUCAAUUUAAUAAGAGCGAGCAGCAACUGAUUAAAGCUACUAAGGGCGUUAGUACUUUGGGUAGUGAUACUAGUUUCAAUAGUUUUGAAAAUAAUAUAAAAUGUAACGUUGUAGGUGAAACCUGUAUAAUACUUCCACUUCAAAUCGUUGCUGGUCUCCUCCUGAAGACCAAAAGGUGACAUGUCCAAUUUUUUUUCCAAAUCUUCCAUUUUUCUUGUAGCGCAACUGAGUUGAUCGAAUUUCAAGUAAAGAUCAUUCAUGGUAAGAUCCGUUUGAGACGCGAUACCAGUCUCGACAUGUACAGUGAUAUUUGAUUCAUCAAGUUUAAUAAACUUAAAAUAACAUCAAGUUAAAAUAAUAUUACAGGCCGUUUGUUUUUACACACUUACCUUACCACUUUUAAAUCUUUUUGUGUAUAAAAUAUUCUCAUCGUCAGAUUGUCUUUGAACUUUUGGAGAAUUGCGUCCCAUAUUUUGAGACGGAAUCCAGUCAGGAUGACUGUACUCCUCUAAAGCAGCAGGCUUUCCUAACAUUAAUACAAAAUAUAUUGAAACUUUUCGUCAAUACGAAGCGACAUAUUGAAAUAUAUCUCUAACACACACUUUGCGGUAUUUAAAAUUCGCGCUAAUUGAACUCGCUUUACGCGAACGCAUUGAUUGGUCAUUUAACGCGUGUGACAACCAGUACAGUAACAAUUGAUUGGUCUUUUUAAACUAAAAGAACUGAUAUGAAUUUAAGUUGGCAAUUCUGUUGAUUCCUGAUUGGUCGAAUUCCGGCCGGUUUUACAUAGCAUUUUUGACAUUUAUGACAUACGACAAUUGUAUAAAUUAUAAACAAAUAUUUUACAUUUUGUUCUUUCUUGCAUAAUUGCUAUUGUUUUAUUAAAAUAUAAAAACAGUUCUUGUAACGACUAAUUUGAAAAUGAACGCAGAUAAUAUUCCAAAUACUGUCGUCUGUAAUUGUAGGUCACUUAUCGUCUACAGAGAAGUAAAACAUUGUGAAGCUGUAUAAACAAAUCUCAGAUGAUGAACCAGAGACAAAGGUGAUUGCCGUUGUGCUUAAAAUUGUAAAAACGUUGGGUAAGUCAUCGAAAAUAGCAUUUUUGUAUCUGGGGGAACGGCAAUGCUCCCGCCAAGUCGAGCAACACACUAUUUAAAAAGGCUCUGUUUUGGCCAGAAGAAAGCAAAUAUGAAAAUUAGAAACGAAACAAAGAAAAAAUUCCUUCUGCCAUUACAUCAGAGAGUUGACAGGAAUACCAUAAAAAAAAUAACUAGAAAAUAAGCAGGAAGAAAGAGAAAGAAGAGCUGAAAACGGGAAGCACAAGCAAGAGGUAAAGAAAACAACAUGAAAUAUGUGUCGGAUGUAAAAAGAAAGAAGUUAAUUUAAAAUCAAAAGGGAAUCUAAAAUUUGAUGACAUAAAAGUGGGAGAUUUUGUAUUGGCAAAGUUUAUGGGAGACUGAUGGAAAACGAUAUUUCCAAAAUAAAAAUGAAAGAUUGAGAAACUGAAUUGCAAAAUAUUGGUAAUUGAAUAAAAUAUACUUUUUCAAAUGAGAUAGAUAAUUUGAUUGUCUCUCAUAUUUUAUGCCUACUUUUGUUAUUACUAAAUCAUUAAUAAUUUUAUAUACUCAUGUAAUAAGGAAA
This is a long non-coding RNA of Diorhabda sublineata, 3540 nucleotides long. RefSeq lists it as uncharacterized. The transcript has 3 exons. The record is from RefSeq and is a predicted model, not a curated record. NCBI's taxonomy places the organism in Eukaryota, Metazoa, Arthropoda, Insecta, Coleoptera, Chrysomelidae.